GGCAGGCGGAGCAGCCCAGGAGGCAGCAGAGCUGGAUCGGGUGUUGAGUACAGCCAGAGUCAAGAACAGCCAUAGCUCUUGGUUCCUAUGCCUGCUGGGAGUGCCCCAGCCAGAACUCCGAGCAGUGGGAGCAAGGGGGGACAGGGCGAGGUGCCACCUUAGUCUGGCCGGGGAGGCAGAUGAUGAGGAGUGAUGGGGCAGGCAUGCGGCCACUCCAUCCUCUGCAGGAGCCAGCAGUACCCGGCAGCGCGACCGGCUGAGCCGCGGGGCCAGCAGGUCUUCCUCAAGCCGGACGAACCGCCGCCGCAGCCAUGCGCCGACAGCCUGCAGGAUGCUUUGCUGAGCCUGGGCGCCGUUAUCGACAUCGCGGGCCUUCGACAGGCUGCCAAGGAUGCCCUCUCGGCCGUGCUCCCCAAAGUGGAGACUGUCUACACCUACCUGGUAGAUGGGG
RNAcentral lists this long non-coding RNA (451 nucleotides) under Rattus norvegicus (Norway rat). RNAcentral's name for it is "long non-coding RNA NONRATT001033". Lineage: Eukaryota; Metazoa; Chordata; Mammalia; Rodentia; Muridae. The record is from RNAcentral.